This is a non-coding RNA of Brachypodium distachyon (stiff brome), 135 nucleotides long. The record is from Rfam. Lineage: Eukaryota; Viridiplantae; Streptophyta; Magnoliopsida; Poales; Poaceae.
AUUGUACUCCCUCCAUCCAACAAAAUAUGUCUUAAGUUUGUCAAAAUUUGGAUGUAUCUAGACAUGAGUAAGUGUAUAGACACAUUCAAAUUAGUUAAAGUCCAGACAUAUUUUCUUGGACAGAGAAAGUAGAAU